UUUUACAAUGGAGAGUUUGAUCCUGGCUCAGGAUGAACGCUAGCGGCAGGCCUAAUACAUG
Molecule: ribosomal RNA, 61 nt
Filed under: Mucilaginibacter achroorhodeus
Lineage: Bacteria; Pseudomonadati; Bacteroidota; Sphingobacteriia; Sphingobacteriales; Sphingobacteriaceae
Description: Mucilaginibacter sp. MJ1a partial 16S ribosomal RNA
Source: RNAcentral